AAACACAGCGCGGAGCUGCAGCUCACGGUCGCUAAGGAAGAGGCAGAGAAAAUCAAGAGGAAGCGGAGUAGUGUGUUUGGGACCCUUCACGUCGCUCACAGCUCGUCACUGGACGAGGUGGACCACAAGAUCCUGGAGGCCAAGAAGUCCCUGUCGGAGGUGACGGCCUGCCUGAGGGAGCGCU
This is a long non-coding RNA of Oncorhynchus gorbuscha (pink salmon), 184 nucleotides long. RefSeq lists it as uncharacterized. The record is from RefSeq and is a predicted model, not a curated record. Lineage: Eukaryota; Metazoa; Chordata; Actinopteri; Salmoniformes; Salmonidae. The transcript is spliced from 3 exons.